UCCCCUUUGGCUCACCAACAAACCUUAACCCCUUGAUUCAAUCCCUUGAUUGAAUCAAGUUACAAGAUAUUAAAACAAAGGUUUAAAACAAAUCAAAGCUUCUUAAACAAGCAAAUAUAACAAUAUAAACAAAUAGAGUAAAGAGAAGCCCUUAAACGAGUUUUGAAGAUGAAGGAGCUCGGCUUCUUCUUUACUUGACCCUCUUCUGAUUUGGCACGAAGUAGAGGAUCACCGAGGCAGCACACGGAUGGAGAGGAAGCUAUGGGAUUCACUUGGAUGCUCUUCUUCUCUCUGUUUCGCUUUGGAUGGCCCUUUUGUGCUUAUGGGAGAUUUCCCUUGUAAUCUCUUUGAAAUCUCUUCCCUAAAUGUUCUCUCCCACUUCCAUGCCGUCUCCCCUAGCUCUCCUCUUGAUUUUAUAGCUUUACAUGUCGUGGAACCAGAAAUCUAGCCGUUAGAGACAAAAAUAGAGCCGUUGUCCACAGUCUGCAAC
RNAcentral lists this long non-coding RNA (490 nucleotides) under Phoenix dactylifera (date palm). RNAcentral describes it as "long non-coding RNA (PDAC_LNC020683)". The record is from RNAcentral. Lineage: Eukaryota; Viridiplantae; Streptophyta; Magnoliopsida; Arecales; Arecaceae.